Molecule: ribosomal RNA, 481 nt
Filed under: uncultured bacterium
Lineage: Bacteria
Description: partial 16S ribosomal RNA
Rfam family: Bacterial small subunit ribosomal RNA
Source: RNAcentral
AUUGAACGCUGGCGGCAUGCUUUACACAUGCAAGUCGAACGGUAACAGCACUUCGGUGGCUGACGAGUGGCGAACGGGUGAGUAAUACAUCGGAACGUGCCUAGUAGUGGGGGAUAACUACUCGAAAGAGUAGCUAAUACCGCAUGAGAUCUAAGGAUGAAAGCAGGGGACCUUCGGGCCUUGCGCUACUAGAGCGGCUGAUGGCAGAUUAGGUAGUUGGUGGGAUAAAAGCUUACCAAGCCGACGAUCUGUAGCUGGUCUGAGAGGACGACCAGCCACAGGGGGCUGGGGGACCGGCCCAGACUCCCAGGGGGGGAAGAGGGGGGGAAUUUUGGAAAAGGGGCGAAAGCCUACUCCAGCAAUGCCGGGGGCAGGAUGAAGGCCUGUGGGUGGUAAACUGUUUUUGUACGGAAAAAAAAGCCCCCUUCAAAAACGGGGGGGUCAUGACGGUACCGAAAAAAUAAGCACCGGCUAACUACGU